UUUUUUUUAGAUUUCGUAUAUAUGUGUUAGCGUACGGUAUUUGUUUUUCUCUUUGACUUUCUUCACUCUAUGACAGACUCUAGGUCCAUCCACGUAGAUGUGAGUAAUUUUUAUCCUUGCUUCCUUACCCCGUCAGCGUAAGAGCAGCUACCUUGAGCUAAAGGUAGUUAAAACAAUAAGCUCGGGGGUGGCGGGGGGAAGCCCACAUCCUUCAUCCUUGCUUUGGGGCUGAGACUUGAGCAUUUGCUCAAAGCCGUUUUCAGUCUUAACAUCUUUUACUGUUUGGGAUUUAGAAGUAGUCAGCUUUCCCAGGCUUUCAGGACCCAAAUUUCUGAACUGUAUUUCCUUUCAUUUCUGCUUGCAGACCGGCCAGUUCUUUCCUGAAGGCACGAAUGACAUCUUGCUAAAGGGGGAGAUAAAAGCCAACACACAGGGUUACCGGGAUGCCAUAUUCAGUUUUCAGACAUUUUCACCAACCGCAGUUGAGGACAACCGUGCGUGGGUGUCAACCAUGAUGUUGCUUUUCGAUUUGACUCCCUCCACUUCCUGCCAAGGAUUUUCUUUCUACGAGAAGGUUGAUGAGUAUCUGGGGAGGGCCCCAGAAGAAGGGUCGGCUAACGGCAAUAUCGGAAGAGUGUCUACUUCUGGAUGGUACUUCUAGCUUCUUUGAGAUCGAAAGGCAUGAUGCCCCUCAGCUUCGCAGGCCCGCCACCCUCUCCAUGUGGAUGAAGACCUUCGUAGACAAGAUGAGGGGCAUCGCAGCUGCUCUCCUCCUACCUGUACACUGCAGGAGCCCCGGACAGUCCCCUGCUUUUUACUGUGCCCCUGCCAUGGGUUGAACUGCAUCGCCCUAAAAGGUAUGUUGAAGUCCUACCCCCUGGAAAUUUUAAAUGUGACCUUAUUUAGAAAUAGGGUUUUUGCAGGUGCAGUUAAUUGAAGGUGAAAUCUUUAGGGUGAGCCCUAAUCCAAUCUGACUGGUGUUCUUAUAAGGAGAAGAGACAUGGAAACACACACACACAGGGAAGACAGCCAUGUGAGGAUGGAGGUGGAGAGUGGAGCGAUGCUGCCACAAGCCCAGGGCUGCCUGGGGACACCAGGAGCUGGAAAAGGCAAGGAAUCCUCCUCCCCUAGAGACUUUGGAGGGAGCGAGACCUUUGAUCUUUUUUCUUUUUCCGGCCACACAGCAUGUGGGAUUUUAGUUCCCUGACCAGGGAUUGAACCUGUGCCCCCUGCAGUGGAAGCACGGAGCCCUAACCACUGGACUGCCAGGGAAUUCCCUCAACACCUUGAUUUUGGACUUCUAGCCUCCAGAGCUGUGAGACAAUAAGUUUCUGUCGUUUUAAGCCGCCCAGUUUGUGGUGCUUUACUAUGGCAGGCUGAAGAAGCUAAUACACGUCCUAUAAUCACUUUUUAUGCACAACGGCCAGAGGAACCUUUGCAACUUAAGUCAGAUUGUGCCCUUUCUCUGCAUAAAAACCUCUUUUGAUUUUCCUCUGAAUUUAUGAUGAAAUCCAAGCUCUUUGCCAGGCGCAAUGAGGCCUUACACAUCUGGCCCUGAUGAUUUCUGGUCUCACCUCCUGCCCCCACCUCUGUUCCUCCUGUUUGUUUCUGGAACAGGGUUGCUGACUCUUUCCACUCACUGGGCCUGUGACCCUGAAGGAAUGAGUUGGAGUCACUAACCUCACCCCGAGUAUUGCUUCAUUUCCUCCAGAUCACAUAUCCCGACGUGGCAUUCCUGUACUAGCUCGUCAUUGGUCCCAGUCCCUCUAUGGUGAAGGUCGUGAGGUCUGAGCUCACCACGUUGCCAUGUCCUGUGUCCAGAACAGUGCUGGGCACAGCUAGAGUGGGAGCUUCAUAUAUAUUUGGAAAUGUGCUAGAUGCGUGCAUACAUAUUUGUUGCUUGAAUGAUACGUUGGAUGUGUGAUGGCGCUUUUGGAAAAUAAGGGAAGGAUGAAGACCGUACUUCCUUUAGAAGUUGUUGAUUGGUCAAAAUCAAACUUCUGAUUUAAGUGAUUUUGAAUGAUAAAUUCGAGAAGAAGUAAUGACGAAUUAGAAACCGACCAUGAAAAAACGAAUAUUUCAGCUGGAAGAUAGCGGUUUCAACAGGAGUAGGUUCGCUUGAUUUGAGCCCUGUUUUUAGCAAUCGCGAGGUUACUGUAGCUCUGAAUGGAAUUCUCACUGUGACGUGAGCAUGUGUCUUUUUCCAGACCCACAAAUUAUGCUGUGUACCCCGACCAGGAGGGUAAGGAAAGUUCUGGGAACUCAGGCAAAGCUGCCUCAGCCCUGCUCAGCUUUUGAAAGUCCCCCCAGCCUGGAGCUAAUGUACUUGGGCCACGCUUCACCUUCGUCUUCGCUGGAGUUUCCUCCUGACUUUGGUGAUUUCCUGGGUCUCUUGAGUUACCACAGCUCUUGCUGCAGGAUCCACCACAGCAGGGCUCCCAUACUGCGAAGCACCCAAGGCUCAAAGUAUUUCAUUUCAAUGAAAGAGGCUCCUUUUCUGUUUUCGUCCAGUGACCAAGGUGAACACAUGGGCCGUUAGCUCCAUUUUCGGAGGAGUUUUCAGAUCAUGCUUUAAAAAUCACGAAUGAAGUCAGCGCCUCCAUGGAACCUGGAGGCUUGCGUCCAGCAGCGUUCUUGUUUUCUCACUUGGAUGGGAAAGAGCUGUGGAGGUACCGUCCUCCCGGGAGUUCCGGAGUCUGAAAACAGAGGCCUUGGGUUGUAUGAAAAGUCUCUAUUCUUUCUUUAAAUAUUCACAGAGUCCCAUGCCAGAAAACAAGACAAGAUUGCUUUAUCAGUCACCCAACAGUGAGAGAGGAAAUCCGCCCACUUCUCCACGCUUCCUUUCAAAGUGACCUCAGCGACCCUGACGGAUUCAUGGAAUUAAUUAGAAACAACAGUAAGGAUGCCGUGGGAUGGGCGAUUUUGUCACUAGACGUUUCGGAACUUCCCUGAGGAGCCUCUGCUGCCUCAGACCCACCUCACUGCCCACGCACCCACCCUGCGAUGCAGACCCUCCCGGGAGGGGCUCAGACCAUCUUCCCCCUUGUUGCCGCCUUCCACGUGGGCCCUCCCGGGUCCCACAAACCCACCCGACAGGCUGCCGCUCCACUCAGGCGUCUGUAGGGGUCUGAGCUUAGUCAAGCCCUGCGGCCCCCUAAGCUCUCGCCCUGACCGCAGACCCUCACUGGGUCAAGGGUGGUCGACCAGCUCAAGACUCAGUUCCCCACAGAGGCCACGUCCUGUGAGGAAAAGGAAGAGAUGGAAACCUAGCCCUCAAGGGUCUGCUCAGGGCCAGGCACUGUGCUGGGAGGAAUCUUACUCCUGUGUGAUCUCAUUUCAUCAUGUAAGUGGCUCUUCAGUUAUAUAGAAGGAGAAACAGAGGCAGAAAGAUUAAAAAACGUAUUGACGGUUGCAUUGCAUUCCAGUGGUCUCCAGGGUAGGGUGGGUCCGCUCUAGGGAAGGUGGCAAAUUAAAUCUCAUUGAUUAACCACUAACCACAUGAGUGCUAUCUAGCUGGCCAGCUUCUAGAUUAAAUUGUGGCAGGUAAAUUAUUUGGAAAAAAAUAGUUGAUUUCCACAUGACCGCAUUGUCUCUGUGAAUUAAUGACAGAAAAAAGUUCUGUAUGUUCACAUGGGAUUCCAAGGUUAUUUCAAGAAUUAUUCACACAUGGGAAUAGUUUCACCUUCAGAACACAAACUCUUAGCUUUUGGAAUGUGGGCAUCUUAUCUGGCCCACCGAGAACCCCACUGAAAACAUAAAUAUCAUUCAAGUUCCCAUCUCAAUUCCUGGCUCUUUUUCCCUUAGGAAAGAUCUUCCAAAAUAUAUAGUGUUUUGGAUAUGUAUGUUAUUUUUUGUUGGGAAAUAACCAUAAUAGUCGCUAAUAUCUACAUGGCUCUUAUGGCGUGCCAGGCGUUGCCUUCAGUACUUUACAUAUAUUUCCUCAUUUAAUCACCAUAGCAAUCCUGUGAGGUAGAUAUCAUUCCUAUCUCCAUCUCACAUGUAAGGAAAUUGAGGCCCAGAUUGAGGCCCAGAGAGGUUAAGAAUUUGCCUGAGGACAAACAGCUGGUAGAUGGUAGAGCCAAGGCUUGCAGCCAGGCAGUCUGGGUUUAAAGUAUGCUCAGUCUGUGGAUUAUGAGACAGAUGGUGGGAUCACUGGGUUGUAUUACAGCAUGUCCAAAGCGAAAGGUAAGUGCACCAUUACGUAAAAAUAAUAGGUUAUGGAGAACUGACUAUAUACCAGGCUCUACAGUAACUCUUUAGAUGUAUUUAAUAUUCAUAACAAUCCCAGAUCUUUCUGACUACGGAGCCUGUAAUUUUGACCACCACCCUUCACUAUAUAGCCUUGGUUCAUAGUUGCUUUGCUUUGAGCUUCUUAGAUAUUUGUAAGGCUGAUUAUUUCUACAUGGGUUAGUUUAAUAUCUGUGUUAGGUGAUGUUUAUAGUCAAUAAUAGAUAAGCAAUCUGAACAAGUCUAACCAAAUGCAAAGAGAUAAUUUCAUUUGUUUUGAGCACUUAUAAAAUCCACAGCCAGGCAUAGCACAGGGAGCUCAGCUCAGUGCUUUGUGAUGACCU
Non-coding RNA from Delphinapterus leucas (beluga whale), 4571 nucleotides. NCBI's taxonomy places the organism in Eukaryota, Metazoa, Chordata, Mammalia, Artiodactyla, Monodontidae. The record is from RefSeq and is a predicted model, not a curated record.